This 492-nucleotide ribosomal RNA is filed under the name uncultured bacterium. RNAcentral's name for it is "partial 16S ribosomal RNA". It matches the Rfam family "Bacterial small subunit ribosomal RNA", at positions 29 to 507 of the family's 1533-position model. The record is from RNAcentral.
AGUGAACGCUGGCGGUAGGCCUAACACAUGCAAGUCGAACGGCAGCACAGUAAGAGCUUGCUCUUACGGGUGGCGAGUGGCGGACGGGUGAGGAAUACAUCGGAAUCUACUUUUUCGUGGGGGAUAACGUAGGGAAACUUACGCUAAUACCGCAUACGACCUACGGGUGAAAGCAGGGGAUCUUCGGACCUUGCGCGAUUGAAUGAGCCGAUGUCGGAUUAGCUAGUUGGCGGGGUAAAGGCCCACCAAGGCGACGAUCCGUAGCUGGUCUGAGAGGAUGAUCAGCCACACUGGAACUGAGACACGGUCCAGACUCCUACGGGAGGCAGCAGUGGGGAAUAUUGGACAAUGGGCGCAAGCCUGAUCCAGCCAUACCGCGUGGGUGAAGAAGGCCUUCGGGUUGUAAAGCCCUUUUGUCGGGAAAGAAAAGCAGCAUGUUAAUACCCCGCUGUUCUGACGGUACCCAAAGAAUAAGCACCGGCUAACUUCGUG